Camelus ferus (Wild Bactrian camel) is the source of this 72-nucleotide transfer RNA. It matches the Rfam family "tRNA". From Rfam's summary of the family: Transfer RNA (tRNA) molecules are approximately 80 nucleotides in length. Their secondary structure includes four short double-helical elements and three loops (D, anti-codon, and T loops). Further hydrogen bonds mediate the characteristic L-shaped molecular structure. tRNAs have two regions of fundamental functional importance: the anti-codon, which is responsible for specific mRNA codon recognition, and the 3' end, to which the tRNAs corresponding amino acid is attached (by aminoacyl-tRNA synthetases). tRNAs cope with the degeneracy of the genetic code in two manners: having more than one tRNA (with a specific anti-codon) for a particular amino acid; and 'wobble' base-pairing, i.e. permitting non-standard base-pairing at the 3rd anti-codon position. NCBI's taxonomy places the organism in Eukaryota, Metazoa, Chordata, Mammalia, Artiodactyla, Camelidae. The record is from Rfam.
GAGGGUAUAGCUCAGUGGUAGAGUGCGUGAUUAGCAUGCACAAGGUCCUGGGUUCAAUCCCCAGUACCUCCC